UAACCUGCCCAAGAGAUCGGGAUAACACCUGGAAACAGAUGCUAAUACCGGAUAACAACAGAUGAUGCCUAUCAACUGUUUAAAAGAUGGUUCUGCUAUCACUCUUGGAUGGACCUGCGGUGCAUUAGCUAGUUGGUAGGGUAACGGCCUACCAAGGCGAUGAUGCAUAGCCGAGUUGAGAGACUUAUCGGCCACAUUGGGACUGAGACACGGCCCAAACUCCUACGGGAGGCAGCAGCC
This 240-nucleotide ribosomal RNA is filed under the name uncultured Lactobacillus sp. RNAcentral's name for it is "partial 16S ribosomal RNA". It matches the Rfam family "Bacterial small subunit ribosomal RNA", at positions 122 to 355 of the family's 1533-position model. The record is from RNAcentral. Lineage: Bacteria; Bacillati; Bacillota; Bacilli; Lactobacillales; Lactobacillaceae.